GUGCAGCUUGUUCCAGCAGCACAUAUACUAAAAUUGGAAUAAUAUAGAGAAGAUUAACAUGGCCCUUCUGCAAGAGUGGCAUGCAAAUUCAUGAAAUGUUCCAUAUUUUU
Gracilinanus agilis (Agile Gracile Mouse Opossum) is the source of this 110-nucleotide small nuclear RNA. NCBI's taxonomy places the organism in Eukaryota, Metazoa, Chordata, Mammalia, Didelphimorphia, Didelphidae. The record is from RefSeq and is a predicted model, not a curated record.